Long non-coding RNA from Gavialis gangeticus (Gharial), 286 nucleotides. RefSeq lists it as uncharacterized. The transcript is spliced from 2 exons. The record is from RefSeq and is a predicted model, not a curated record. NCBI's taxonomy places the organism in Eukaryota, Metazoa, Chordata, Crocodylia, Gavialidae.
UGGUGUGGCCACAGAUGGAGUUGCAGAAACAAAAAGGAGCAGCCAGAACCUCAGCCAGAGGAUCCCAAGAUGGAAGCGAAGGGGCUGCAACCCGGUGCACUCAUGGCCAGAUUUGGGCGGAUGACCUGGAGAUGAAAGGCAUUAGCAACCCCUAACCGUCAGCCUUUAUGUGUUUGGAAACCUAGACCCAGCUGCUACCUACCCUUCCUUGAGUUUAAACACCACUCCCAAGAGUGUUGAAGUCCUCGUUGGCUGCUGGACAUGCCCGGAAUAAAAAGAGGAGCAA